Molecule: transfer RNA, 73 nt
Filed under: Haptophyceae sp. NIES-3900
Lineage: Eukaryota; Haptophyta
Description: tRNA-Arg
Rfam family: tRNA
About the family: Transfer RNA (tRNA) molecules are approximately 80 nucleotides in length.
Source: RNAcentral
GAGCAUGUAGCUCAGGGGAUAGAGCAUCAGAUUCCGAUUCUGUUUGUCGAAGGUUCGAGUCCUUCCAUGCUUG